GUUGCCUUUUUCCAGAAAUUUCUUGGAGGCGAGGUGGCCUAGGCGGAGGCGGAGACCCCGCCAGAUGCAGCUCUCGGCGAUUUUUUUUGCUGCCGGCCGGUGGGUUUCUCGCUGCCCACUUCCUCGCCGAUUUUUCCCCUUCAGCUGCUCGUGUUCCUCGCUGUCGCAGCGAUCUUCUCUGCCUCACGCUCUCUACUCAAAAUUUCAUGUGAUUUUUUCACUUUUUGGUGCGUUCAUGUGAUAUUUUGUGUUCAGAUCCUGCAUCAUGUUUGCCCUAUAAAUCCUUUGUAUGUUUGGUUGGUGUUCUUCUCCUAGAUUUCUAGGGGAAACGAUUCGUUGAUUUUCGCACGCAUGUAUUGUUGUUCAUCUUGAGGAUGGAGGCGUCAAUGUUUUUC
This 395-nucleotide small RNA is filed under the name Oryza sativa Japonica Group (Japanese rice). RNAcentral describes it as "sRNA Os06g0594940". The record is from RNAcentral. Lineage: Eukaryota; Viridiplantae; Streptophyta; Magnoliopsida; Poales; Poaceae.